RNAcentral lists this unclassified non-coding RNA (1020 nucleotides) under Hevea brasiliensis (rubber tree). The record is from RNAcentral. Lineage: Eukaryota; Viridiplantae; Streptophyta; Magnoliopsida; Malpighiales; Euphorbiaceae.
GCCGAAACUGCCCAUCCCGGCUUGCGGAUCUCUCUCCCCCUAAAUCCAGCGAUCUCUCGUCACUAAUCAGAGCUCGAGGGGGGAGAGCGAGCGAGCGCAAUGGAAACCCUAACCAACUCCUUCUCCUCCCUCAUACACGCAUUUCCCUCAAAAUUCACACCAGCCACGACACGAAUCGGCAAUCUCAAGACCGGCGCCGAUCGUCGGGGCUCGAAAUCGAUCUCCUGCAUGAUCUCCGAGAGUAGCACGUCCGCCAGCGGCCUGAAGGGGAUGACGCGGAACCCGCCGCUGGCGGAGGACUACAACACCGCCAUGAAGAGGAUGAUGCGGAACCCCUACGAGUAUCACCACGAUCUCGGCAUGAACUAUACUCUUAUAAGUGAUAGUUUAAUAGUGGGUUCCCAACCCCAGAAGCCUGAAGAUAUUGAUCAUCUGAAAGUGAAGGAAAAUGUGGCCUACAUACUAUGCUUGCAGCAGGAUACGGACAUUGAGUAUUGGGGAAUUGAUUUCGAUGCUAAUGUCAAGAGGUGUAAAGAAGUUGGUGUUCGCCACAUGAGAAGGCCUGCUAAGGACUUUGAUCCAGAUUCACUGAGAGGUCAAUUACCAAAAGCAGUUUCUUCUUUGGAGUGGGCUAUAUCAGAGGGCAAGGGAAGAGUUUAUGUUCACUGUACGGCUGGAUUGGGUAGGGCACCUGCCGUUGCAAUUGCAUAUAUGUUUUGGUUCUCUGACAUGGAUCUGAAUACGGCCUACAAGAGACUCACAUCCAAACGACCUUGUGGGCCCAACAAGCGAGCCAUUCAAGGUGCUACUUACGAUCUUGCUAAGAAUGAUCCUUGGAAAGAGCCCUUUGAGAGCCUGCCCGAGCAUGCUUUCAGUAAUGUUUCCAAUUGGGAAAGGGAACUGAUACGAGAUCGAGUUCGUCGACUUCGCGGAACUUGAGAGUUCAUGAGGCCGCUCCAGUCGAAGUAAGUCCGAUUAACAGCGUCUGGGAAGCUACAGGCUGAAUGGUAGCAAAGCUUA